AAGAAAUGCGGCGGAGGGGCCCCCCAAAAGGGCCACCCGAGCCAACACGUUCUACCCUGUCUUUUCGAUACCUCUACCUCCUCCCCGGCCUCCGGGCCGGGAUGGCUACUUCAAAAAAACCUUGCAGUUUACAGUCAAUUCAGUACUUUGUAACAAAAUUA
RNAcentral lists this unclassified non-coding RNA (161 nucleotides) under uncultured Ascomycota. Its description in RNAcentral is "sequence contains ITS1". The record is from RNAcentral. Lineage: Eukaryota; Fungi; Ascomycota.